UCUUGGACAAUGAAACCUGUGGAUAUUUUGAAGAGGAGAUUUCAACAAGUGACCUGCUUGCUUGGUUAUACCAGGUUCCUUAGGGAAGUUAAAAAAAAAAAGUUCCUAUUCCUGAUGAAUACCAAAACACCAGCCAGGAGAUUGAACUCACAGGGACGGUGAAUGUAGACCAGAAAGACUGCGCUGGAGGUCACUCAGAAGGGUGCACUGGGGGAACACUCACCCAAUGGUGAGUAUCUGGAGAGCGUAUAAGCGCAUGCCGCUGUGGACUUUUCAGCGAUGUCAUGCUGACAAACUGACUCAGCAGGAGUUACCCACACAGGAAACGGACAUCCAUCUUCACUGCAGACCCAGAAGACGUGACGGGAGACCAGGAAACGUCUGCCUCGCUGACUUACUAUAUUCCCUUGGAUGUACUGAUCAGGCUACAUUCCGCCAAGUCAAAAACGUUGAGAGAAAAAAAUGUCUAAUAAUUUCCUCUGAUAAUCACCAAAAAUCACAGCUUCUAAACGUAA
This is a long non-coding RNA of Mus musculus (house mouse), 515 nucleotides long. RefSeq annotates it as predicted gene, 35413. Lineage: Eukaryota; Metazoa; Chordata; Mammalia; Rodentia; Muridae. The record is from RefSeq and is a predicted model, not a curated record. The transcript is spliced from 2 exons.